CCUACGGGAGGCAGCAGUAGGGAAUAUUGCUCAAUGGGGGAAACCCUGAAGCAGCAACGCCGCGUGGAGGAUGAAGGUUUUAGGAUUGUAAACUCCUUUUGUUCGAGAAGCUUAUUACGGUAUCUCACGACUACUCACCGUCUAACUCCGUGCCAGCCGCCGCGGUAAUACGGAGGGUGCAAGCGUUACACGGAAUCACUGGGCGUAAAGAGUGCGUAGGCGGGGUAAUAAGUCAGAUGUGAAAUCCUGUAGCUUAACUACAGAACUGCAGUUGAAACUGUUACUCUGGAGUGUGGGAGAGGUAGGUGGAAUUCUUGGUGUAGGGGUAAAAUCCGGAGAGAUUAAGAGGAAUACUGAUUGCGAAGGCGACAUGCUGGAACAUGACUGACGCUGAUGCACGAAAGCGUGGGGAGCAAACAGGAUUAGAUACCCGGGUAGUC
RNAcentral lists this ribosomal RNA (440 nucleotides) under uncultured bacterium. RNAcentral describes it as "partial 16S ribosomal RNA". It matches the Rfam family "Bacterial small subunit ribosomal RNA", at positions 338 to 795 of the family's 1533-position model. The record is from RNAcentral.